RNAcentral lists this non-coding RNA (29 nucleotides) under Homo sapiens (human). The record is from RNAcentral. Lineage: Eukaryota; Metazoa; Chordata; Mammalia; Primates; Hominidae.
UUGAGCGUGUCCCGAGUCUCCUGGUCCUC